CAGCACCUCAAGUGGUCAGGAUGAUUAUUGGGCCUAAAGCAUCCGUAGCCGGCGCUGUAAGUUUUCGGUUAAAUCUGUACGCUCAACGUACAGGCUGCCGGGAAUACUGCAGCGCUAGGGAGUGGGAGAGGUAGACGGUACUCGGUAGGAGGGGGUAAAUCCUUUGAUCUAUUGAUGACCACCUGUGGCGAAGGCGGUCUACCAGAACACGUCCGACGGUGAGGGAUGAAAGCUGGGGGAGCAAACCGGAUUAGAUACCCGAGUAGUCC
RNAcentral lists this ribosomal RNA (269 nucleotides) under uncultured archaeon. RNAcentral's name for it is "partial 16S ribosomal RNA". It matches the Rfam family "Archaeal small subunit ribosomal RNA", at positions 477 to 747 of the family's 1478-position model. The record is from RNAcentral.